RNAcentral lists this ribosomal RNA (497 nucleotides) under uncultured bacterium. RNAcentral describes it as "partial 16S ribosomal RNA". It matches the Rfam family "Bacterial small subunit ribosomal RNA", at positions 28 to 507 of the family's 1533-position model. The record is from RNAcentral.
GACGAACGCUGGCGGCGUGCCUAAUACAUGCAAGUUGAGCGCUGAAGGUUGGUACUUGUACCAACUGGAUGAGCAGCGCACGGGUGAGUAACGCGUGGGGAAUCUGCCUUUGAGCGGGGGACAACAUUUGGAAACGAAUGCUAAUACCGCAUAAAACCUUUAAACACAAGUUUUAAGUUUGAAAGAUGCAAUUGCAUCACUCAAAGAUGAUCCCGCGUUGUAUUAGCUAGUUGGUGAGGUAAAGGCUCACCAAGGCGAUGAUACAUAGCCGACCUGAGAGGGUGAUCGGCCACAUUGGGACUGAGACACGGCCCAAACUCCUACGGGAGGCAGCAGUAGGGAAUCUUCGGCAAUGGACGAAAGUCUGACCGAGCAACGCCGCGUGAGUGAAGAAGGGUGUCGGAUCGUAAAACUCUGUUGGUAGAGAAGAACGUUGGUGAGAGUGGAAAGCUCAUCAAGUGACGGUAACUACCCAGAAAGGGACGGCUAACUACGUG